AUUGAACGCUGGCGGCAGGCCUAACACAUGCAAGUCGAGCGAGCGACGGACGGGUGAGUAAUGUCUGGCAACCUGCUUGCUCGAUCGGGAUAUCUACUGGAACCGGUCGCUACCACCGCCUACCCUCGGAUGUGCCCAGAUGGGAUUAGCUAGUUGGUGGGGUAACGGCUCACCAAGGCGACGAUCCCUAGCUGGGCUGAGAGGAUGACCAGCGAAACGGGAACUGAGACACGGUCCAGACUCCUACGGGAGGCAGCAGUGGGGAAUAUUGGACAAUGGGGGAAAGCCUGAUGCAGCCAUGCCGCGUGUAUGAAGAAGGCCUUCGGGUUGUAAAGGACGUUAGUCAGGGAAGCGGUACCUGAAGAAUAAGCACCGGCUAACUACGUGCCAGCAGCCGCGGUAAUAC
RNAcentral lists this ribosomal RNA (406 nucleotides) under uncultured bacterium. RNAcentral's name for it is "partial 16S ribosomal RNA". It matches the Rfam family "Bacterial small subunit ribosomal RNA", at positions 30 to 526 of the family's 1533-position model. The record is from RNAcentral.